GACGAACGCUGGCGGCGUGCCUAAUACAUGCAAGUCGAGCGAAGUUUUUCUGGUGCUUGCACUAGAAAAACUUAGCGGCGAACGGGUGAGUAACACGUAAAGAACCUGCCUCAUAGACUGGGACAACUAUUGGAAACGAUAGCUAAUACCGGAUAACAGUAUUUCUCGCAUGAGAGAUAUUUAAAAGUUGGUUAUGCUAACACUAUGAGAUGGCUUUGCGGUGCAUUAGCUAGUUGGUGGGGUAAAGGCCCACCAAGGCGACGAUGCAUAGCCGACCUGAGAGGGUGAUCGGCCACACUGGGACUGAGACACGGCCCAGACUCCUACGGGAGGCAGCAGUAGGGAAUCUUCCGCAAUGGGCGAAAGCCUGACGGAGCAACGCCGCGUGAGUGAAGAAGGAUUUCGGUUCGUAAAGCUCUGUUGUUAGGGAAGAAUGGAUAUGUAGUAACUAUACAUGUAAGAGACGGUACCUAACCAGAAAGCCACGGCUAACUACGCG
RNAcentral lists this ribosomal RNA (499 nucleotides) under uncultured bacterium. RNAcentral's name for it is "partial 16S ribosomal RNA". It matches the Rfam family "Bacterial small subunit ribosomal RNA", at positions 28 to 507 of the family's 1533-position model. The record is from RNAcentral.